Molecule: ribosomal RNA, 426 nt
Filed under: uncultured bacterium
Lineage: Bacteria
Description: bacterial SSU rRNA
Rfam family: Bacterial small subunit ribosomal RNA
Source: RNAcentral
CAGGCCUAACACAUGCAAGUCGAACGAUACCUUUCGGGGUAUAGUGGCGCACGGGUGCGUAACGCGUGGGAAUCUGCCCUUGGGUUCGGGAUAACCGUUGGAAACGACGGCUAAUACCGGAUGAUGACGUAAGUCCAAAGAUUUAUCGCCCAGGGAUGAGCCCGCGUAGGAUUAGCUAGUUGGUGUGGUAAAGGCGCACCAAGGCGACGAUCCUUAGCUGGUCUGAGAGGAUGAUCAGCCACACUGGGACUGAGACACGGCCCAGACUCCUACGGGAGGCAGCAGUGGGGAAUAUUGGACAAUGGGCGAAAGCCUGAUCCAGCAAUGCCGCGUGAGUGAUGAAGGCCUUAGGGUUGUAAAGCUCUUUUANCCCGGGAUGAUAAUGACAUACCGGGGGGNAAUAGCCUCCGGCUAAAUCCCGUGUCC